CCUACGGGUGGCAGCAGUAGGGAAUAUUGGUCAAUGGGGGAAACCCUGAUCCAGCAACGCCGCGUGAGUGAAGAAGUAUUUCGGUUCGUAAACCUCUAUUGUCAGAAAAGAAAAUGACGGUACCUCACGAAUAAGCCCCGGCUAACUACGUGCCAGCAGCCGCGGUAAUACGGAGGGUGCAAGCGUUACCCGGAUUGACUGGGUGUAAAGGGAGCGUAGGCGGCAUCGAAAGUCUGAAGUGAAAUGCCGUGGCUCAACCCCGGAACUGCAUUGGAAACUGUUAAGCUGGAGUGUAGGAGAGGUAAGCGGAAUUCCUGGUGUAGCGGUGAAAUGCGUAGAUAUCAGGAGGAACAC
Molecule: ribosomal RNA, 354 nt
Filed under: uncultured bacterium
Lineage: Bacteria
Description: partial 16S ribosomal RNA
Rfam family: Bacterial small subunit ribosomal RNA
Source: RNAcentral